This is an RNA transcript of Biomphalaria glabrata, 2104 nucleotides long. It is a transcript of the gene named cyclin-H-like, with no coding region annotated. The record is from RefSeq and is a predicted model, not a curated record. The transcript has 13 exons. NCBI's taxonomy places the organism in Eukaryota, Metazoa, Mollusca, Gastropoda, Planorbidae.
UUUAAAUUCUAGUUUUAAAGUUGACAGGCUAAUGUUUACGUUUGUAGCAGUGUUGUUACACUAGUAUAGAUCUAAAUCUAGAUCUAGUUAGAGUCUAGAUCCAGAUUCCUCUAGGCUCUAUAAUAAACAAACUAAAGCUUUUGGAUGUUUUCUAUAAGUACCCAAGCCAAAUAUUGGCUUUUCACUGGCGAAACAGAGCUGGCAACUUGCAGAGCAGAAGCCAACAGGUCAUAUAUAAGUAGUAGGAGAGCUCAUCUCACAGACAAUGAAGUGGCCUCUUGCUUUUUAACACCAAUGGAAGAGAAACUUUUAAGUCGUCAGUAUGAAGUUGUUCUUCGAAAAUUUUGUUCUGAAUUUCAACCACCAAUGCCUAAAUGUGUUAUAGGUACAUCACUGGCAUAUUUUAAAAGAUUUUAUGUCCAUAAUUCUAACAUGGAUUACCACCCUAAAGAUAUCAUGUUAACCUGUGUUUAUUUGGCUUGUAAAGUUGAAGAAUUUUAUGUUCCCAUCGGCCAGUUUGUUAAAAACCUCCGAGGAGAUAGGGAAAAGUUUGCAGAUGCUAUACUGAGCUUUGAGUUAACCCUCAUGUCUAAACUGAAUUAUCACCUAACUGUACACAAUCCAUUUAGACCAAUGGAAGGUUUUAUUAUUGAUAUAAAGACUCGCUACAAAGAUAUACAAAAUAUUGAAAUUGUCAGAAGAACUGCUGAAGAGUUUAUGGAAAGAAGUUUGCAGUCUGAUGCCUGUUUAAUUUUCUCUCCAGCACAGAUAGCAUUAGCUGCUUUAAGUUUUGGUGCUACAAAAGAAGGACUUUCAUUAGAUAGAUAUAUUAAGGAAAUACUUUUUAAAACUGCAACAGAAAAAGAAGCUGAAGACACAUUAUAUCAACUUCGGCGAGUCAAGUUUAUAGUUAAGAACACAGAAUCUGUACCAAGAGAACAAGCCCAAGCUAUUCAAAAGAAAUUAGAUCAGUGUCGAAAUCAAGAAAACAAUCCAGAUAGUGAUGUGUAUAAACAACGCAUGCUAGAAAAGUUAGAUGAGGAAGAAGAUGUGAGACACAGAAAAAGAGCAAAAUUAGUAGCCGAUGUCUCCCCCUAAUCUUGGUCUGUGUUUCAUCUAUCUCACUCCUCCAUCUUCUGGUUGACACACUUCCUGAGCAUGCUUUCAAACGUUUCUGUGAGCUAAGAGACAAUGCCCUGUCAUUUGUUUUUAAUGGAAUGUCCAGCUCAUUGGAGCCAUAAAAUCCAGCCAGGUAGUUUUCUUUCUCUGUUUAUUGAAAAUCAAUACUUUUAUUUAGAUGAAAUGGGAGAACAAGUGCAGCGGUUAUGGACUGACAAAACAAACAUGUCUCCUCUAUUUAUACUUUUCCUAAGUUAAAACUAGAAAUAAGAAAAAUAUUAAAAUACUUUUUUAAAAACAAAACUUAUAAUAAGCGUAGUUGUAUCAAUUAGUUUGGAUCAAGUCAUUUAAUUAAAUUUGUAAUAGAUCUAGAUUAAGAAUAAUAAAUCUGUGUGAUUACAAAUAUUUUUACCAAUUGUUUUUGUUAGCACAAUUUCAUGUUUUUAGCUUUCUCAAUGUACUAUGAUCCUAUCACUUGUCUGGACCAGUUGGGAAAGAGUUCCGGGGAGAAAGAAAGGGGUAUCUGGUUGAAAGUUACCGUGAUAACUUUUUAAAUGCAUUUAUGUUUUAAAAAGUUGAAUGACCUGAAUUCAAGCUCAAGGGCUGAAGCCUCUUCAAGCUAACACUAACCACUGUGCCAGCCAACUUUGGCAUUUGAGCUGUAGGUGCUUUCACAGUUUGUGCAAGGAACGGUAGUGUGCUUUUCUUCUCAGCUGCACUUAGGGUGUUGAUUAUACUGUCCAUCAGAUAUAAACUUUGGAGAGUCCAUCCAUCAGUUCUAGUGACUACGAUUUUACAGGUUUAGGAAGGUAAGCUGCCAUGUGGGCAACAGUCCAUCCAUCAUUGUCUGUAAUAGACAUUAGCUGGUAUCCAAUAUCAGAGUCUUUUGACUGACUCAAACCAAGUUUGUUUAGCAGCGGCUUCAGAAUAUGGGAAUGAUUAUUUUGGACAGCGUAGUGGACACUGGUCAAACCAGCCUUUAAGU